CUAUUUCAUGGUUAUUGAGAACAUGGGAUCUGUCCUCAGACCGUCCAGACUCAAAUUGCAGCCUCCUCUUAGUGUGUGGCUCUGGACAAGUGACCUAACCCUUGUAAACUUCAGUUUCUGAAUCUGAAAUGGGGAUGACAGCAGUACUGAAAUCACAGGGUUGUUUCUGGGAUGAAAUGUGGUAGUUACCUGUAAAGGACUUAGUACAGGGCACAUGACAGUGAUCAUAACGAUAACAUUAGCUGCUGCUUACUGAGUGCCUCAUAUGCGCCAAGCAAGUGUGAGCACGUGAAGUUCUCACAGCAGAACUGUGCAGUCUGCAGCUCAGCAUUUCUUUGUUGUUUUUUUGUUUUUUGUUUUUUGAGACAGAGUCUCGCUCCGUCGCCCAGGCUGCAGUGCAGUGGUGCGAUCUCGGCUCGCUGCAAACUCCACCUCCCAGGAGAAUCACUUGAACCUGGGAUGUAGAAGUUGCAGUGAGCCGAGAUCGUGCCACUGCACUCCAGCGUGGGCGUCCGAAUGAGACUCUGUCACAAAAAAAAGAACUUUAUUCUCGGAUCCAAACACUGGAAACCUAGGAUUCCGUGUC
Long non-coding RNA from Homo sapiens (human), 586 nucleotides. The record is from Ensembl. Lineage: Eukaryota; Metazoa; Chordata; Mammalia; Primates; Hominidae.